RNAcentral lists this long non-coding RNA (1308 nucleotides) under Triticum aestivum (bread wheat). RNAcentral's name for it is "long non-coding RNA (TAES_LNC003362)". Lineage: Eukaryota; Viridiplantae; Streptophyta; Magnoliopsida; Poales; Poaceae. The record is from RNAcentral.
AACUUUCCAGUGCAUCUACUUUCUCUGAUAAUCACCAACAUCAAAAGAUGCUAAUUUAGGCUUUCUUUGCAUCAGAGCAACUAAAAAUGUCAGCUGAGUUUUGUCAACUUUCCAAGAAAAAAUUACAAGCUAUUGCUUGAUACAUGCCCUUAUAGUUGGUGCUUGAUACAACGCUAGAUUUUGGUGGAAGGAGGCUCACAAAUUAAUUUGUCAUUGUCAGGCUCAUGUUAUCCCUUAUCCUGGAAACCAGAAAAAAUGCACAGUAUUAUCUCUCCAUUCUCGAAACUAAAUUCUAAAAUAAAAAUAUCGUAUGCUUAACAGAAAUUAACUACUUUUUGAGUUCUUUUGGUCAUUCCAGUUUACUGGAUCCAUAUUUGAACACGAAUUGUACUGUGUCAACAGAAAAGUGGAUUAGAUUGAUAUAUAAUCAUAUAAAUGCAAAACAAUAUAGGAAUAAGAACAUACCUCCGACCACCAGGAUUAAAUUCGUGUGCAUUCAUCAAUACAAAAUGCCUUAACUCCAAGUUUCUCUUGCGAAGCCUAGAAGAAAUAGUAAGGUCUUACUUGUGCACAGGUCAGUAUACAGUUUGCAUAGGUAAGUAACUCAAAGGAAUUACAGUGGCAAUGUUCACCAUAUAAAAACUAAGUCUCCUCACACAAAUCUAUCUUAUCGCAUAACCAUUUGCCCUUGUUAUUUUAUCAAAAAAACACAUAGGAAAUCGUUGGCUACUCUCUUAAAUUUGACAAAAAUACCUUAGAGAAGCUAAAGGCAUCAAGAAUUCAAGGCUUGAAGUGGGAACUAUAUGGGCAGGACAAAAGAAAGUGCCACUGAAGACUAAAUCAUGUACAUGCAAAGAGUAUGCAGUCCAAUAUGAAAAAAAUCAAAAGGUAAAUGGAAAACGCACCAUAUCAUCAGUGUUGUCAUCUCCAAAUAUUACACAUGAGGAGGAUAUAGUUUUAGCAUGGAACAAACACAAAUAAUAGCAUGGAACAAACACAAAUAACUUAUAAAUUAAGAUGCACUUAUGUGUUUUGAGAUCACACUGUAUGCAGAACUGCUCACAACAACUUGGAACAUGCGCAUAUGGGCAAUGAAGAUAUGACUGAAGUCUGGGAUACAGGAGCAUACAUGACCAAGUGGAGAAGAUAUGCCAACGGCAUUAACAUAUCACUCCGUGUUAUAUGCCUUGAUUCGGCUCAAUGCCCAUGAAUCCUAAAGAUCUAUAGGGACAAAUCAUUAGGAGCAAGCAGCGACAAAAUCACCCAGCCGUCUAGGAACAGAAUAUGUCAAAUUAAAUAUCACCGGAG